RNAcentral lists this long non-coding RNA (209 nucleotides) under Elaeis guineensis (African oil palm). RNAcentral's name for it is "long non-coding RNA (EGUI_LNC057741)". The record is from RNAcentral. Lineage: Eukaryota; Viridiplantae; Streptophyta; Magnoliopsida; Arecales; Arecaceae.
GAAGCUUUCAACACAAACCCGAGGUAAGAAGAGAAAGAGAGUUGAGGUGAAGGGAAUACAACAAUAACAACGGCAAAGGAAAAAGCUCGGCAGACAACAGUUGGACGCAAAGUACGGACAAGGUAACAAAAUCACUUCCUCAUUUUUCGACUAACAAGAUGUACGUUACAAGACCCGGAGGGCCGAAAAAGAAUACAUUAUUACAAGGC